GGUGAACGCUGGCGGCGUGCUUGACACAUGCAAGUCGAACGGUAUGUGGCAACACAUAGAGUGGCGAACGGGUGAGUAACACGUGGGAACGUACCUUCUGCAGGGGGAUAACUGACCGAAAGGACAGCUAAUACCGCAUAAGACCGAGAGGAGAAAGGUGCAACAGCAUCGGCAGAGGAGCGGCCCGCGGACCAUCAGCUAGUUGGUGGGGUAAGAGCCUACCAAGGCAACGACGGAUAGCCGGCGUGAGAGCGUGGCCGGCCACAAGGACACUGAGAUACGGGUCCUACUCCUACGGGAGGCAGCAGUGCGGAAUUUUAGAUAAUGGAGGCAACUCUGAUCUAGCGACGCCGCGUGCAGGAAGAAGGUCUUCGGAUUGUAAACUGCUGUGGUAAGGGAAAAAUGCCAUGUAGAGUGGAAAGCUACAUGGAGGGAUGGUACUUUACUAGAAAGCCCCGGCUAACUACGUGCCAGCAGCCGCGGUAAUACGUAGGGGGCGAGCGUUACCCGGAAUCACUGGGCGUAAAGGGAGCGUAGGUGGCCUGACAUGUCGACUGUGAAAACCCGGAGCUCAACUCCGGACUUGCAGUUGAAACUGCCAGGCUUGAGGACGGUAGAGGAAGACGGAACUGCCAGUGUAGGGGUAAAAUCCUUAGAUAUUGGCAGGAACGCCGGUGACGAAGGUGGUUUUCUGGGCCGGUUCUGACACUGAUGCUCGAAAGCCAGGGGAGCGAACGGGAUUAGAUACCCCGGUAGUCCUGGCCCUAAACGAUGUUCACUAGGUGUGGGGAGCGGAAAGCUUUCCGUGCUAAAGCUAACGCGAUAAGUGAACCGCCUGGGGAGUACGCCCGCAAGGGUGAAACUCAAAGGAAUUGACGGGGGCCCGCACAAGCGGUGGAG
Molecule: ribosomal RNA, 900 nt
Filed under: uncultured bacterium
Lineage: Bacteria
Description: bacterial SSU rRNA
Rfam family: Bacterial small subunit ribosomal RNA
Source: RNAcentral